Panicum virgatum (switchgrass) is the source of this 768-nucleotide long non-coding RNA. RefSeq lists it as uncharacterized. NCBI's taxonomy places the organism in Eukaryota, Viridiplantae, Streptophyta, Magnoliopsida, Poales, Poaceae. The record is from RefSeq and is a predicted model, not a curated record. The transcript has 5 exons.
ACACAUGCCUGGCAACGCAAACCGGAUCCAUUGCAGCCUGACCCGCAUCCCCCCGCGCCCACCAGGCCACCAUCUCGUUUGACUGAAAUAUAACUUCACCCACUUGGCCCACGAGUCCACACCCAGCGGCCAAUAACUGCCCGCGCAGGAGAUUAGGGAUUCAUAAUCACCGCUCCACCGCGGCAGCCGCCGCACUCGAGGAUCAACCGAGACCCUCCUGGCCUCCUGUCUUCGACGGCAUCUUCGUCCCGUCCCUCGGCAUUGAAGAUUUGGCAAGCGGUGGUGGAAGGAUCUAAUAGAGACUUGCAUGGCUGCAUCUCUCCUCAAGCACGAGCAUCCCUGAGGUUGUAGCAACAAUUUCUAUGUCGUUUUCGUCAAUAACCAGACGCUAUUCCCCUUAUCUACAAGUUUCAGGUGUUUUUGGCAGAUGAGAUUGGCAGCUCUAAGAAGAUGCGUCAUGUAUUUUGAAAUCCAGAGAAAGAUAAUAAGCAAAUCAAUUUUUAAAGAUGAUUUUGUCAACACAUCACGCCAUGAUUCAAAGGAUAAAGCUGCAGCGUGCAAAUGGGUACUCAAAGAAGUGCGUCAGAUCUUGAAAAGUUAAACAGUAGUUGACAGCAGUAUGCCAGUAUAUCGGCCAUUUCAUUUUUAUUGUAUUGGGAAAACGUGUCAUCAUGGUUCCAGCUGGCUGUAGUGUAUGAACAAUUGCGUCGUAUUGAUGUAUGCACAAUAUAAUGUAUUAAAUUUUGAAUGAAAUUGGUUCAUAGCUUU